Molecule: long non-coding RNA, 2888 nt
Organism: Rattus norvegicus (Norway rat)
Lineage: Eukaryota; Metazoa; Chordata; Mammalia; Rodentia; Muridae
Source: RefSeq, a predicted model, not a curated record
CCAAGGCAGACAGCUGGCAGCCUCCGCCACGGGUGAAGAAUGAGGAGCAAGCUGGCCGGGGACCGAGAGCCCAGCCAAAUCAGCCGGGGACAGGCAUGGGCCAGGCCGAGCGGGGCGUGGAGCUCCUUCUACUGGUGCGGUGACCCACACUUGAGGCAAGGCGAUGUGGAGCUUAUGACCCCCUCACAAUAAUGCUCGCAAAGCAAAGGGAAAAAAAAUAUGCAGAUUGGCAAAGGCAGCUGAUUAUAUGGAAGCACAGUUUUCAAAAUAUUUGCAAAACAAAUAUGAGAUUCAGUCCCAGAUCCACCUUCUCACUAACACAUCAGAUAGGAAGACCACGAAGCAGUUCCGUUAACUGCCACAAUUUCGAAGCGGUGAUAAGUGUCAAUGAUCUUUCGAAAUGUCUGCAACAACUACCACGUGACAGGGAAUAUGUGACUUCGGCAGGUGACAGAGUCACGGGCACCGUACUGCUGCAUUCAGCGGCCUCAGCCUGUGUGACUGAAGAGAGACGUUCUGCUUCAGGUGGGAACUGGAGAGACGAAAGUGGGCUGCUCUCCUGCCUUCCCUUAGCUUGCUCCCCGUCAGAUUCUCCCAGGACAGCAGAGACCUUGCCUGUCCUGUCCUCGGCUGUGGACACUUCCAGACAUACAGGUGGUCAGCAAAGGGUCUUUAGAGCAAUCGAGAGACCAUGCUGAGGAGAUGGGCCCACAGUGAGAGGCCUAGAAGACUGUGCUCCGAAUGGCUGAAGCCAGAGGGAAUAGACUCACUCUGGGAGGGAGGUCAGCCUGAGGAACAACCGCGUACCCACAAGGCUAGGCUGGCAGGCAGGGUGACUAGAGGUGAGCAUGCUGCAUGACCGGUCUGAGCAUCAAUUGUGGAUGUCAGCAGCUCCUUUGCUCCCAGCUGCCCUCUGUCCUCCUCGCCUCCCUGGACGUUAAGCAGGGACCUUGGAGAAGCUGGGCCUAGAGUGCUGUCAUCAGCUUCCAGCAUUUCUGUGAUGGUAGAGUGUGCCAGGGACGAGGAGAAGCAGAGGCCAGAGGCUAACAACGUGCCUUGGGAACGUCCCAACAGCAGCUAUGGCAGAGAGAACUAGAGUGUGGGAUCAGGGAGACAAGGCAGGAUAAGCCAGCUCAGCUAUCCCAGACUGGAGCAGGGUGUUUGGGGCCCAGAUCUCAGUUACCCGGGGGAGCCAGGGGGAAAGCUGCCUUCUGGAACCUCACGUGAGAUCCACGCCACCUGUUUGUUGUUAUUUAAUUUUGAGACCGUGUCAGAGAGACAGGGAUGGCUCUGAACUCACUAUGUAGACUAAAGAUGAUCUUGAACGUCUAAUCUUCCUGCCUCACGGCUUGAGUGCUGGGAUUACAGGCAUGUGCCACUAAACUCCAUUUAUGUGGCGCUAGGGACUAAGCUCAGGACCUCAUGCCUGCUGUUGGGCAAACAUUCUGACAGCUGAGCUACGUACCCAGCCAUCGUCACCCGCUUCCGCGUGUGCCCAGCAGGUCACACUCUAGCCCUACGCCGCUGGCUGUCUCAGUUGCUGAGAUGAGGGAAUUCCUUCUGCAUAGCAGGUUUGAAAGGAGCUCUAAAGGGCGUUGUCUGGGGCACCACCUUUGUGACUUUGUCGCUACUAACAUGGGAGAACGACUCGAUGACAAUAGUCUACCAUUUCCCUUCACAAGCCUCUUCCUCAACGGAAAGAGGGUGGAGAAUAGAUCUAGUGUUAGUAUGUGGCCAGUAGGUCGGGGUGGAGAGAGAUCCGUGUUCAAAUCUCAGCUCUGUGGUUAAUGCCUGUAUGUCUCUGGCUGAACCACGGCACCUCUCUGAGCCAUCUCUCUCUCGUUUCAUUAAACAAGGAUACCGCUUUUCUUCUGGUAGUGUUUCAAAUAUUACAGGCUAGAAGUGAUGCGAGUAAAGUCCUUAGGACAGGGCCUGACCCCUCAUAAGCGUUUAAUCAGUGGUGGCCAUAAGUGUGUUGUUUAUCGCAGCCGAAGCCUUGUGCGGGGAGACAAGGACACAGGUAAGGGGAUCACCUGGCUCUCUACUCAUCCUUAGAAAAUGCCAGGCCUACAGGGGGCCUGGGUUUGCUGCCCUCAACCGGCCAUGCUGGUGACAGGGACCUGCAUGUAUCCUCCAACCUUGCAGAGUUGGACACCUCUGGACAGACAGACAGACGCUGAGCUGUCUUUGAAGAAAGCAACAGUGAGCAGAAGGCCCUCAGCCUGGAGGAUUCAGGUCUAACUCACCCAGGGUGGAAAGGGAGAACCAGGAUUGCUUUACAUGACAGACAAGCAGUGGCUGGCCCUGUGCUCACCCUGGGCUCUGGGCAAGCUUUUCGGUUCUUGAGCUGGGCCCGUUCCUUAUGCCAGCAUGAUCCCAGCACAAAGGUCCUUACUGGAGGACCAGCAUCCUAAUGAACUGGGGAGGAACUGUGUGGGUCCAACUUUCCUCAUACCCAGGCUUUUUAGAAAGUUAGAGGAAGAAGAAAGUCCCAUGCUGCUCUGACUCACGUGACGUCAGGAGCCCAUUUUACAAAGCCACACCUCGUGCCUCUGGGUUGUGUAGACGAGAGGGCCAGGGUCCUGAUGCAGGCCAGCGUGGGUUCCAGGCCCAGCUUUAGACUCGACGAGCAUGAGGUGAACUCACAAAGGAAAACAAGGUGAUCAAAGACACUCAGCAGCCUGGGAUGGAGAACCCAGCCCCCCAAACUCUCAUCAAAACCCUGCUUUGCUGUCUCCCUGACAGGGAGGGACCUGACAGUCAGGGCUCACAAAUCCAAGUCAGGACCCAUGGAUGAUGAAGUAUUUUCUACCCUGGGUAUAGCCUACUCUUGUCUCUCAGCCAAACACCCUUGUUCAGGAUUCAACUAGUAAAACUGUAUACGGCGA